GACGAACGCUGGCGGCGUGCUUAACACAUGCAAGUCGAACGGAAAGGCCCUGCGUUUGUGGGGUGCUCGAGUGGCGAACGGGUGAGUAACACGUGAGUAACCUGCCCUUGACUUUGGGAUAUCUUCCGGAAACUGGGGCUCAUACCGGAUAGGAGAUCCUGCUGCAUGGGGGGGGUGGGAAAGUGUCGGCGGAUGGGGCUGGACUCGCGGCUUAUCAGCUUGUUGGUGGGGUAGUGGCUUACCACGGCUUUGACGGGUAGCCGGCCUGAGAGGGUGACCGGCCACAUUGGGACUGAGAUGCGGCCCAGACUCCUACGGGAGGCAGCAGUGGGAAAUAUUGCACGAUGGGCGGAGGCCUGAUGCAGCAACGCCGCGUGCGGGAUGACGGCCUUCGGGUUGGAAACCGCUUUCGCCUGUGACGAAGCGUGAGUGACGGUAAUGGGUAAAGAAGCACCGGCUAACUACGUG
Molecule: ribosomal RNA, 468 nt
Filed under: uncultured bacterium
Lineage: Bacteria
Description: partial 16S ribosomal RNA
Rfam family: Bacterial small subunit ribosomal RNA
Source: RNAcentral